AUUGAACGCUGGCGGCAUGCUUUACACAUGCAAGUCGAACGGCAGCGCGGGCUUCGGCCUGGCGGCGAGUGGCGAACGGGUGAGUAAUACAUCGGAACGUGCCCAGUAGUGGGGGAUAGCUCGGCGAAAGCCGGAUUAAUACCGCAUACGACCUGAGGGUGAAAGCGGGGGAUCUUCGGACCUCGCGCUAUUGGAGCGGCCGAUGGCAGAUUAGCUAGUUGGUGGGGUAAAGGCCUACCAAGGCGACGAUCUGUAGCUGGUCUGAGAGGACGACCAGCCACACUGGGACUGAGACACGGCCCAGACGCCUACGGGAGGCAGCAGUGGGGAAUUUUGGACAAUGGGCGAAAGCCUGAUCCAGCAAUGCGGCGUGUGUGAUGAAGGCCUUCGGGUUGUAAAGCACUUUUGGCGGGAACGAAAAGGACUGUGCCAAUACCACGGUUCGAUGACGGUACCCGCAGAAUAAGCACCGGCGAACUACGU
This 483-nucleotide ribosomal RNA is filed under the name uncultured bacterium. Its description in RNAcentral is "partial 16S ribosomal RNA". It matches the Rfam family "Bacterial small subunit ribosomal RNA", at positions 29 to 506 of the family's 1533-position model. The record is from RNAcentral.